RNAcentral lists this ribosomal RNA (253 nucleotides) under uncultured bacterium. Its description in RNAcentral is "partial 16S ribosomal RNA". It matches the Rfam family "Bacterial small subunit ribosomal RNA", at positions 524 to 776 of the family's 1533-position model. The record is from RNAcentral.
UACGUAGGGUGCAAGCGUUGUCCGGAAUUAUUGGGCGUAAAGAGCUCGUAGGCGGUCUGUCGCGUCGGAUGUGAAAAUCCAGGGCUUAACCCUGGGCCUGCAUUCGAUACGGGCAGACUAGAGUGCGGUAGGGGAGACUGGAAUUCCUGGUGUAGCGGUGAAAUGCGCAGAUAUCAGGAGGAACACCGGUGGCGAAGGCGGGUCUCUGGGCCGUAACUGACGCUGAGGAGCGAAAGCAUGGGGAGCGAACAGG